This 670-nucleotide long non-coding RNA is filed under the name Nicotiana tabacum (common tobacco). Its description in RNAcentral is "long non-coding RNA (NTAB_LNC003244)". The record is from RNAcentral. Lineage: Eukaryota; Viridiplantae; Streptophyta; Magnoliopsida; Solanales; Solanaceae.
GUUACACUGAACCCUAGCACAUCCAACACGAACCGAGUUACGCCAAACCACCUGAGUAUAGUGUCCACACACCUGUCCUUGUGCACAAGUAUUUGAGUCAUGGUCAUAAUACUGUUUCUCAUCGACCCACAUCUCAACGGCCUUAGCAGCCGUCAUGAAAUCGCCACUUCCCUCAGCUAGGUUUUCGCCGUAUUGACCAUGAGAAUGUACGAGGUUACAAUCUGCAGCCAAUUGGGAAGCAUAAUUUUGCGCAUAGGCUGCUACCUGGUCGUCCCAGGUCAAAGGUUCUACACCUACAUCUGCACGAGCUGUGUUAUGGGCAUCCAAAUAGUCUUGUUGAGAAUUUUGGGCACGGCAAGAGUGGGAUAUUACUAGGAAUAAGAGAAGUGUAGAGACAAGAAGAAAUGAAGGCAAUUGUGAAAAGAGAACAAAUCCCAUGACUAUAGGAGAAAUGUUGUAUCUUGAAUGGAAAAACUAGAUUUACUACCAAGGGUAUUUAUAGGAGAAAUCUUGAAGAUUUCACGGUGAUUAUUCAUGUACUUACUAAAUUUUUUGACAUGGUAAUAUCAAUGUAAUAUAUCCUGUUAUAGAUAAUUUAUCCUAUUUUCUAGGUUACCAUAUUAAACUUAUAUAUGCAGUUACCAAUUGUUGUAAAAUAGUUUUACCCGAU